This is a non-coding RNA of Oncorhynchus mykiss (rainbow trout), 1527 nucleotides long. The record is from RefSeq and is a predicted model, not a curated record. Lineage: Eukaryota; Metazoa; Chordata; Actinopteri; Salmoniformes; Salmonidae.
UACUGUACCAGCGUGAAGUUUUCUACACCAGAAUGGUAGAAUGACCAACGAAGAACCCCUUUCAUUCUCUGGCGUACACGGAAAAGGUGCGAAUUAAAAGCGAGGGUCGACCGCUGCCUGAGAUCAGUUUCAUGAAGAAAGAUGAAAAGGUGAGCUCGUUCAAUAUCACCUGGUAUCAAAAGUAUAGCUGGUUAACAGGGAGCCUGUAUUAAUGGUCUUGCCUGCGUUUUUGGGCAUGCAAUAAUUUGCUUUUAGAGGACACGACGAGAUGGAAAGUUCCGCCGACAAGGAGUUUUGCCGAGAGGUGAUGACUACUCCACCCUACUACCUUUGUCAAAUUUCUCCUGACAUGAACUGAAGCCACGUCUCAUGUGCCCGCACAUCCACUGGCACAUUGAAUGUUUCCCCUCCAAGUACUUCAAAUCCUGUCCUGCGCUGGUCAAGCCUUUGAACACCUCAACUCAGGCCCUCAUUCAAUCACUGCUGUGAUCCCUUUCCAACAGUGUAUUGCCCCUCCUGCCAGACAUAGACCAAGGUGAGCCAGCCUCAGCUUCCGAUGGCCCUUCAGGUGAUGGGGACUCAGCACGGGCAUCUGUUUCCAACAAUGUGUCUGUGUCGUAGCUGAUGUGUUUGGAUGAGGGGUGUGAGGUUGCUGGCCAAGUCCAUCCAUACCCGGUAGUACUGUGAAAGGUCUGUCUAAAAUGGGCAAAGGUCAUACAACUAGAUAUGACAGUACGCUGAUUUAUCUGUGCACUAUACACCAAAUAAGAAGGUUUUGUGCUCUAGAAGUUCAAAAGUUCAAGCAAAAUAUAUGUUUUUGGCUCUACAAUCAGAAUGUACUGUAAGUUAAUAAGGUGUGAUGGGAUAAAAAUAUCUACAUUUGAGAGUAGAACUUGAUCUAGUGUUGACAUUGAGCACACUCUUUCCCAUGUAAGUCAGUAGAGACCAGAACAUACCAAAUGUCAUGUGCUCACAGCUCAGUGUGUGCUGGAGGGAGAAAGAUUGAUAGGUGUCUUAAUAACAUUAAUCACAGCAAACCUAUUUAACAGUUUAAAACCCUGGUAGCACAUGGUAUUUGUGGAUCAAGAGUCACUGGAGGAAAUACCAUGGGUCACUGAGACUGAAAAUAAUUUCAACCUUCUCAUAUUAUUGGUGCGGAAUCUACAGACUGACGUUACAUGUGGAAGGAAGUAGGUCCUCUAUGUUGCUUUUCAUAUCUCAAAACCAAAACCAGGCAGUUAUUUGAAAGAUGACUUGGCUGAUCUAAUUUGUAGAGAGCAGAGAAAUCAAGCUUGCUUCAUCAGCAAAACAAAACAGCCCUUAAUGGAAAAUGUACCGAUGUGGUAAUAAAUAAAAUGCCAACAGAUGAAAACCUGAAGUCUCACCAUUAAUACAAUUCUGUUAACAGUAAUUGCAGUCAUCUUGAGACAUUUUCUGACAACAUGCUGAACUCAAAUGACAUGUAUAAAGUUAGAAAAAGAUGCCUUACUGCUGGCUGCUUGAGGAGGAAUCCAAACUCUUAAAACA